UGGCUCAGUGGUUAAGCACUUGGCUGCUAAUCAAAAAGCUGGUGGUUCAAACUCACC
This 57-nucleotide transfer RNA is filed under the name Loxodonta africana (African savanna elephant). It matches the Rfam family "tRNA", at positions 8 to 63 of the family's 71-position model. Rfam says of the family: Transfer RNA (tRNA) molecules are approximately 80 nucleotides in length. Their secondary structure includes four short double-helical elements and three loops (D, anti-codon, and T loops). Further hydrogen bonds mediate the characteristic L-shaped molecular structure. tRNAs have two regions of fundamental functional importance: the anti-codon, which is responsible for specific mRNA codon recognition, and the 3' end, to which the tRNAs corresponding amino acid is attached (by aminoacyl-tRNA synthetases). tRNAs cope with the degeneracy of the genetic code in two manners: having more than one tRNA (with a specific anti-codon) for a particular amino acid; and 'wobble' base-pairing, i.e. permitting non-standard base-pairing at the 3rd anti-codon position. Lineage: Eukaryota; Metazoa; Chordata; Mammalia; Proboscidea; Elephantidae. The record is from Rfam by way of RNAcentral.